This 235-nucleotide ribosomal RNA is filed under the name uncultured bacterium. RNAcentral's name for it is "partial 16S ribosomal RNA". It matches the Rfam family "Bacterial small subunit ribosomal RNA", at positions 118 to 351 of the family's 1533-position model. The record is from RNAcentral.
UGAGUAACCUGCCCUUAACUCUGGGAUAAGCCUGGGAAACUGGGUCUAAUACCGGAUAUGACUCCUCAUCGCAUGGUGGGGGGUGGAAAGCUUUAUUGUGGUUUUGGAUGGACUCGCGGCCUAUCAGCUUGUUGGUGAGGUAAUGGCUCACCAAGGCGACGACAGGUAGCCGGCCUGAGAGGGUGACCGGCCACACUGGGACUGAGACACGGCCCAGACUCCGUACGGGAGGCAG